UCGAGCCGUACGAGGAGAAAACUUCUUGUACGGUUCUGGGGGUAUUUUUAAUUUACAUCAAUCCCAAUGAGCCGUUUAUAGAAUCAUUGCAAUUGAUGUUUGAUCCCGAA
RNAcentral lists this non-coding RNA (110 nucleotides) under Cucumis melo (muskmelon). The record is from RNAcentral. Lineage: Eukaryota; Viridiplantae; Streptophyta; Magnoliopsida; Cucurbitales; Cucurbitaceae.